This 352-nucleotide RNase P RNA is filed under the name uncultured Pontimonas sp. RNAcentral's name for it is "Bacterial RNase P class A". It matches the Rfam family "Bacterial RNase P class A". From Rfam's summary of the family: Ribonuclease P (RNase P) is a ubiquitous endoribonuclease, found in archaea, bacteria and eukarya as well as chloroplasts and mitochondria. Lineage: Bacteria; Bacillati; Actinomycetota; Actinomycetes; Micrococcales; Microbacteriaceae. The record is from RNAcentral.
GGUUGGCCAGGCGAUCGCGUCGCUACUUCGGUAGUGCCGAGGAACGUCCGGGCUCCUCAGAGCAGGAUGGUGGGUAACGCCCACCCGGAGUAAUCCGCGAGAUAGUGCCACAGAAAACAGACCGCCCGGUUUUCCGGGUAAGGGUGAAACGGUGGUGUAAGAGACCACCAGGGGUUUAGGUGACUAAGCCUGCUAGGUAAACCUCAUCCGGAGCAAGGUCAAACAGACACCCAUCAGGUUGCUCGCCUGAGUGUCGGGUAGGCCGCUAGAGAGAACUGGCAACAGUUAUCCGAGACAGAUGAUCGUCACCGAAGUUCGCUUCGGGACAGAACCCGGCGUAUCGGCCGACCCU